UACGGAGGGUGCAAGCGUUGUCCGGAAUCACUGGGCGUAAAGGGCGCGUAGGCGGCUCGGUAAGUAGGGGGUGAAAUCCUGCGGCUCAACCGCAGGGCUGCCUUCUAAACUGUCGAGCUCGAGCACGGUAGAGGCAGAUGGAAUUCCCGGUGUAGCGGUGGAAUGCGUAGAGAUCGGGAAGAACAUCAGUGGCGAAGGCGGUCUGCUGGGCCGUUGCUGACGCUGAGGCGCGACAGCGGGGGGAGCAAACAGG
Molecule: ribosomal RNA, 253 nt
Filed under: uncultured bacterium
Lineage: Bacteria
Description: partial 16S ribosomal RNA
Rfam family: Bacterial small subunit ribosomal RNA
Source: RNAcentral